RNAcentral lists this small nucleolar RNA (71 nucleotides) under Choloepus hoffmanni (Hoffmann's two-fingered sloth). RNAcentral describes it as "Small nucleolar RNA SNORD112 (ENSCHOG00000015892.1)". The record is from RNAcentral. Lineage: Eukaryota; Metazoa; Chordata; Mammalia; Pilosa; Megalonychidae.
UGGAUCAGUGAUAACAGCACAUUAUGAACCGAAGAUUAUGCUAAAUUCCGUUUUGGUGUCUGAGGUCAAAU